GAUGAACGCUGGCGGCGUGCCUAAUACAUGCAAGUAGAACGCUGAAGCUUGGUGCUUGCACCGAGCGGAUGAGUUGCGAACGGGUGAGUAACGCGUAGGUAACCUGCCUGGUAGCGGGGGAUAACUAUUGGAAACGAUAGCUAAUACCGCAUGACAACAGUUAUUGCAUGAUAACUGUUUAAAAGGGGCAAUUGCUCCACUACCAGAUGGACCUGCGUUGUAUUAGCUAGUUGGUGAGGUAACGGCUCACCAAGGCGACGAUACAUAGCCGACCUGAGAGGGUGAUCGGCCACAAUGGGAAUGGGACACGGCCCAGACUCCUAAGGGAAGGAGCAGUAGGGAAUCUUAGGCAAUGGACGGAAGGCUGAACGAGCAACGCCGCGGGAGUGAAGAAGGUUUUCGGAUCGGAAAGAUCUGUUGUAAGAGAAGAACGAGUGUGAGAGUGGAAAGUUCACACUGUGACGGUAGCUUACCAGAAAGGGACGGCUAACUACGUG
RNAcentral lists this ribosomal RNA (497 nucleotides) under uncultured bacterium. RNAcentral's name for it is "partial 16S ribosomal RNA". It matches the Rfam family "Bacterial small subunit ribosomal RNA", at positions 28 to 507 of the family's 1533-position model. The record is from RNAcentral.